AUUGAACGCUGGCGGCAGGCUUAACACAUGCAAGUCGAGCGGGGGGAGGUAGCUUGCUACCGGACCUAGCGGCGGACGGGUGAGUAAUGCUUAGGAAUCUGCCUAUUAGUGGGGGACAACAUCUCGAAAGGGAUGCCAAUACCGCAUACGUCCUACGGGAGAAAGCAGGGGAUCUUCGGACCUUGCGCUAAUAGAUGAGCCUAAGUCGGAUUAGCUAGUUGGUGGGGUAAAGGCCUACCAAGGCGACGAUCUGUAGCGGGUCUGAGAGGAUGAUCCGCCACACUGGGACUGAGACACGGCCCAGACUCCUACGGGAGGCAGCAGUGGGGAAUAUUGGACAAUGGUGGGAACCCUGAUCCAGCCAUGCCGCGUGUGUGAAGAAGGCCUUAUGGUUGUAAAGCACUUUAGGCGAGGAGGAGGCUACUUUAGUUAAUACCUAGAGAUAGUGGACGUUACUCGCAGAAUAAGCACCGGCUAACUCUGUGCCAGCCGCCGCAGUAA
Molecule: ribosomal RNA, 501 nt
Filed under: uncultured bacterium
Lineage: Bacteria
Description: partial 16S ribosomal RNA
Rfam family: Bacterial small subunit ribosomal RNA
Source: RNAcentral